GGGUGCGAUCAUACCAACACUAAUGCACCGGAUCCCAUUAGAACUCCGCAGUCAAGCGUGCUUGGGCGAGUGUAGUACUAGGAUGGGUGAACUCCUGGGAAGUCCUUGUGUCGCACCCC
RNAcentral lists this ribosomal RNA (119 nucleotides) under Cephalotus follicularis. Lineage: Eukaryota; Viridiplantae; Streptophyta; Magnoliopsida; Oxalidales; Cephalotaceae. The record is from RNAcentral.